Molecule: ribosomal RNA, 490 nt
Filed under: uncultured bacterium
Lineage: Bacteria
Description: partial 16S ribosomal RNA
Rfam family: Bacterial small subunit ribosomal RNA
Source: RNAcentral
GAUGAACGCUAGCGAUAGGCUUAACACAUGCAAGUCGAGGGGCAGCAUGGUCUUAGCUUGCUAAGGCUGAUGGCGACCGGCGCACGGGUGCGUAACGCGUAUGCAACUUGCCUCACAGAGGGGGAUAACCCGUCGAAAGACGGACUACUACCGCGUACACUCUCUGUUGGGCAUCCUAUGUAGAGGAAAUGAAAUUCGCUGUGAGAUAGGCAUGCGUCCCAUUAGCUAGUUGGUGAGGUAACGGCUCACCAAGGCGACGAUGGGUAGGGGAACUGAGAGGUUGAACCCCCGCACUGGUACUGCGACACGGACCAGACUCCUACGGAAGGCAGCAGAGAGGAAUAUUAGGCGAGGGGGGAGGGCCUGAACCAGCCAAGUCGCGUGAAGGAUGACUGUCUUAGGGAUUGUAAACUUCUUGUAUACGGGAAUAACAAGAGUCACGUGUGGCUCCCUGCAUGUACCGUAUGAAUAAGCAUCGGCUAACUCCGUG